Molecule: ribosomal RNA, 476 nt
Filed under: uncultured bacterium
Lineage: Bacteria
Description: bacterial SSU rRNA
Rfam family: Bacterial small subunit ribosomal RNA
Source: RNAcentral
UGAACGCUAGCGGUAGGCUUAACACAUGCAAGUCGAGGGGUAACGAUACUUUCGGGUAGGCGACGACCGGCGCACGGGUGAGUAACGCGUAUGCAACCUACCCAUUGCUGGAGAAUAGGCCGAAGAAAUUCGGAUUAAUACUCCAUAAUAUCAUUUUAACACAUGUUUUUAUGAUUAAAGUUCCGACGGCAAUGGAUGGGCAUGCGUGACAUUAGUUUGUUGGUGAGGUAACGGCUCACCAAGACUGCGAUGUCUAGGGGGUCUUAAAGGAUGAUCCCCCACACUGGUACUGAGACACGGACCAGACUCCUACGGGAGGCAGCAGUGAGGAAUAUUGGUCAAUGGGCGAAAGCCUGAACCAGCCAAUCCGCGUGCAGGAUGACGGCCCUAUGGGUUGUAAACUGCUUUUGUAUGGGAAGAACUACCUGACGUGUCAGGGGCUGACUGUACCAUACGAAUAAGCAUCGGCUAACUCC